RNAcentral lists this ribosomal RNA (2776 nucleotides) under Salmonella enterica subsp. enterica serovar 6.8:eh:-. Its description in RNAcentral is "bacterial LSU rRNA". It matches the Rfam family "Bacterial large subunit ribosomal RNA". The record is from RNAcentral. Lineage: Bacteria; Pseudomonadati; Pseudomonadota; Gammaproteobacteria; Enterobacterales; Enterobacteriaceae.
AGCGUACACGGUGGAUGCCCUGGCAGUCAGAGGCGAUGAAGGGCGUGCUAAUCUGCGAUAAGCGCCGGUAAGGUGAUAUGAACCGUUAUAACCGGCGAUACCCGAAUGGGGAAACCCAGUGUGACUCGUCACACUAUCAUUAACUGAAUCCAUAGGUUAAUGAGGCGAACCGGGGGAACUGAAACAUCUAAGUACCCCGAGGAAAAGAAAUCAACCGAGAUUCCCCCAGUAGCGGCGAGCGAACGGGGAGGAGCCCAGAGCCUGAAUCAGCAUGUGUGUUAGUGGAAGCGUCUGGAAAGGCGCGCGAUACAGGGUGACAGCCCCGUACACAAAAGCGCAUGUGCUGUGAGCUCGAUGAGUAGGGCGGGACACGUGGUAUCCUGUCUGAAUAUGGGGGGACCAUCCUCCAAGGCUAAAUACUCCUGACUGACCGAUAGUGAACCAGUACCGUGAGGGAAAGGCGAAAAGAACCCCGGCGAGGGGAGUGAAAAAGAACCUGAAACCGUGUACGUACAAGCAGUGGGAGCACAGGUUUACCUGUGUGACUGCGUACCUUUUGUAUAAUGGGUCAGCGACUUAUAUUCUGUAGCAAGGUUAACCGAAUAGGGGAGCCGGAGGGAAACCGAGUCUUAAUUGGGCGUUAAGUUGCAGGGUAUAGACCCGAAACCCGGUGAUCUAGCCAUGGGCAGGUUGAAGGUUGGGUAACACUAACUGGAGGACCGAACCGACUAAUGUUGAAAAAUUAGCGGAUGACCUGUGGCUGGGGGUGAAAGGCCAAUCAAACCGGGAGAUAGCUGGUUCUCCCCGAAAGCUAUUUAGGUAGCGCCUCGUGAAUUCAUCUCCGGGGGUAGAGCACUGUUUCGGCUAGGGGGCCAUCCCGGCUUACCAACCCGAUGCAAACUGCGAAUACCGGAGAAUGUUAUCACGGGAGACACACGGCGGGUGCUAACGUCCGUCGUGAAGAGGGAAACAACCCAGACCGCCAGCUAAGGUCCCAAAGUCAUGGUUAAGUGGGAAACGAUGUGGGAAGGCCCAGACAGCCAGGAUGUUGGCUUAGAAGCAGCCAUCAUUUAAAGAAAGCGUAAUAGCUCACUGGUCGAGUCGGCCUGCGCGGAAGAUGUAACGGGGCUAAACCAUGCACCGAAGCUGCGGCAGCGACACUGUGUGUUGUUGGGUAGGGGAGCGUUCUGUAAGCCUGUGAAGGUGGCCUGUGAGGGUUGCUGGAGGUAUCAGAAGUGCGAAUGCUGACAUAAGUAACGAUAAAGCGGGUGAAAAGCCCGCUCGCCGGAAGACCAAGGGUUCCUGUCCAACGUUAAUCGGGGCAGGGUGAGUCGACCCCUAAGGCGAGGCCGAAAGGCGUAGUCGAUGGGAAACAGGUUAAUAUUCCUGUACUUGGUGUUACUGCGAAGGGGGGACGGAGAAGGCUAUGUUGGCCGGGCGACGGUUGUCCCGGUUUAAGCGUGUAGGUGUGUGUUCCAGGUAAAUCCGGUUCACUUUAACACUGAGGCGUGACGACGAGGCACUACGGUGCUGAAGCAACAAAUGCCCUGCUUCCAGGAAAAGCCUCUAAGCAUCAGGUAACAUCAAAUCGUACCCCAAACCGACACAGGUGGUCAGGUAGAGAAUACCAAGGCGCUUGAGAGAACUCGGGUGAAGGAACUAGGCAAAAUGGUGCCGUAACUUCGGGAGAAGGCACGCUGACACGUAGGUGAAGUGAUUUACUCACGGAGCUGAAGUCAGUCGAAGAUACCAGCUGGCUGCAACUGUUUAUUAAAAACACAGCACUGUGCAAACACGAAAGUGGACGUAUACGGUGUGACGCCUGCCCGGUGCCGGAAGGUUAAUUGAUGGGGUCAGCGCAAGCGAAGCUCCUGAUCGAAGCCCCGGUAAACGGCGGCCGUAACUAUAACGGUCCUAAGGUAGCGAAAUUCCUUGUCGGGUAAGUUCCGACCUGCACGAAUGGCGUAAUGAUGGCCAGGCUGUCUCCACCCGAGACUCAGUGAAAUUGAACUCGCUGUGAAGAUGCAGUGUACCCGCGGCAAGACGGAAAGACCCCGUGAACCUUUACUAUAGCUUGACACUGAACAUUGAGCCUUGAUGUGUAGGAUAGGUGGGAGGCUUUGAAGCGUGGACGCCAGUCUGCGUGGAGCCGACCUUGAAAUACCACCCUUUAAUGUUUGAUGUUCUAACGUGGACCCGUGAUCCGGGUUGCGGACAGUGUCUGGUGGGUAGUUUGACUGGGGCGGUCUCCUCCUAAAGAGUAACGGAGGAGCACGAAGGUUGGCUAAUCCUGGUCGGACAUCAGGAGGUUAGUGCAAUGGCAUAAGCCAGCUUGACUGCGAGCGUGACGGCGCGAGCAGGUGCGAAAGCAGGUCAUAGUGAUCCGGUGGUUCUGAAUGGAAGGGCCAUCGCUCAACGGAUAAAAGGUACUCCGGGGAUAACAGGCUGAUACCGCCCAAGAGUUCAUAUCGACGGCGGUGUUUGGCACCUCGAUGUCGGCUCAUCACAUCCUGGGGCUGAAGUAGGUCCCAAGGGUAUGGCUGUUCGCCAUUUAAAGUGGUACGCGAGCUGGGUUUAGAACGUCGUGAGACAGUUCGGUCCCUAUCUGCCGUGGGCGCUGGAGAACUGAGGGGGGCUGCUCCUAGUACGAGAGGACCGGAGUGGACGCAUCACUGGUGUUCGGGUUGUCAUGCCAAUGGCACUGCCCGGUAGCUAAAUGCGGAAGAGAUAAGUGCUGAAAGCAUCUAAGCACGAAACUUGCCCCGAGAUGAGUUCU